CCCUACGGGAGGCAGCAGUGGGGAAUAUUGCACAAUGGGGGGAACCCUGAUGCAGCGACGCCGCGUGGGUGAAGGAGUAUUUCGGUAUGUAAAGCCCUAUCAGCAGGGAAGAACAAUGACGGUACCUGACUAAGAAGCACCGGCUAAAUACGUGCCAGCAGCCGCGGUAAUACGUAUGGUGCAAGCGUUAUCCGGAUUUACUGGGCGUAAAGGGUGCGCAGGCGGUCCUGCAAGUCUGGAGUGAAACGCAUGAGCUCAACUCAUGCAUGGCUUUGGAAACUGGAGGACUGGAGAGCAGGAGAGGG
This 305-nucleotide ribosomal RNA is filed under the name uncultured bacterium. RNAcentral's name for it is "bacterial SSU rRNA". It matches the Rfam family "Bacterial small subunit ribosomal RNA", at positions 337 to 658 of the family's 1533-position model. The record is from RNAcentral.